Terrapene triunguis (Three-toed box turtle) is the source of this 107-nucleotide small nuclear RNA. Lineage: Eukaryota; Metazoa; Chordata; Testudines; Emydidae. The record is from Ensembl.
UUGCUUGUGUCAGCAGCACAUAUACUAAAAUUGGAAUGAUACACAGAAGAUUAGCAUGGUCCCUGCCUAAGGAUGACAUGCAAUUUCGUAAAGCAUUCCAUUAACUA